AUUGAACGCUGGCGGCAGGCAUAACACAUGCAAGUCGAGCGAGCGGCGGACGGGUGAGUAAUGUCUGGGAAACUGCCUGAUGGAGGGGGAUAACUACUGGAAACGGUAGCUAAUACCGCAUACCAUCAGAUGUGCCCAUAUGGGAUUAGCUGGUAGGUGGGGUAACGGCUCACCUAGGCGACGAGCCCUAGCUGGUCUGAGAGGAUGACCAGCCACACUGGAACUGAGACACGGUCCAGACUCCUACGGGGGGCAGCAGUGGGGAAUAUUGGAAAAGGGGCGCAAGCCUGAUUCAGCCAUGCCGCGUGUGUGAAGCAGGCCUUCGGGUUGUAAAGCACUUUCAGCGGGGAGGCGUUACCCGUAGAAGAAGCACCGGCUAACUCCGUGCCAGCAGCCGCGGUAAUUC
Molecule: ribosomal RNA, 406 nt
Filed under: uncultured bacterium
Lineage: Bacteria
Description: partial 16S ribosomal RNA
Rfam family: Bacterial small subunit ribosomal RNA
Source: RNAcentral